GAUGAACGCUGGCGGCGUGCCUAAUACAUGCAAGUCGAGCGAACGGAAGAGAAACUUGUUUCUCUGGUGUUAGCGGCGGACGGGAGAGUAAAACGUGGAUCACCGACCUAUAAGAAUGGGAUAACUUCGGGAAACCGGAGCUAGUACCGGGUAAUAUUUUGAACCGCAUGGUUCCAAGGUGAAGGUCGGUCUUGCUUUCACAGAUAGAUGGAUCCGCGCUGCAUUAGCUAGUUGGUAAGGUAACGGCUUACCAAGGCAACGAUGCAUAGCCGACCUGAGAGAGUGAUCGGCCACACUGCAACUGAGACACGGUCCAGACUCCUACGGGAGGCCGCAGUAGGGAAUCUUCGGCAACGGGCGAAAGCAUGACGGAGCAACGCCGCGUGAGUGAUGAAGGUCUUCGGAUCUUGAAGCACUGGGAUUAGGGAAGAACAUAUGUGUAAGCAACUGUGCACACCAUGACGGUACCUAAUCAGAAAGCCACGGCUAACUACGUG
This 497-nucleotide ribosomal RNA is filed under the name uncultured bacterium. RNAcentral's name for it is "partial 16S ribosomal RNA". It matches the Rfam family "Bacterial small subunit ribosomal RNA", at positions 28 to 507 of the family's 1533-position model. The record is from RNAcentral.